RNAcentral lists this transfer RNA (76 nucleotides) under Anaerolineaceae bacterium. RNAcentral's name for it is "tRNA-Met". It matches the Rfam family "tRNA". From Rfam's summary of the family: Transfer RNA (tRNA) molecules are approximately 80 nucleotides in length. Their secondary structure includes four short double-helical elements and three loops (D, anti-codon, and T loops). Further hydrogen bonds mediate the characteristic L-shaped molecular structure. tRNAs have two regions of fundamental functional importance: the anti-codon, which is responsible for specific mRNA codon recognition, and the 3' end, to which the tRNAs corresponding amino acid is attached (by aminoacyl-tRNA synthetases). tRNAs cope with the degeneracy of the genetic code in two manners: having more than one tRNA (with a specific anti-codon) for a particular amino acid; and 'wobble' base-pairing, i.e. permitting non-standard base-pairing at the 3rd anti-codon position. The record is from RNAcentral. Lineage: Bacteria; Bacillati; Chloroflexota; Anaerolineae; Anaerolineales; Anaerolineaceae. RNAcentral also lists the same sequence under 1 other name.
GGGCCCAUAGCUCAGCGGUCAGAGCAGGCGGCUCAUAACCGCUUGGUCGCAGGUUCGAAUCCUGCUGGGCCCACCU